This 442-nucleotide ribosomal RNA is filed under the name uncultured bacterium. Its description in RNAcentral is "bacterial SSU rRNA". It matches the Rfam family "Bacterial small subunit ribosomal RNA", at positions 28 to 517 of the family's 1533-position model. The record is from RNAcentral.
GAUGAACGCUGGCGGCGUGCUUAACACAUGCAAGUCGAACGAACCUUCGGGUUAGUGGCGGACGGGUGAGUAACGCGUGAGAAUUUGCCCUCAGGAGGGGGAUAACGGCUGGAAACGGCCGCUAAUACCCCAUAUGCCGAGAGGUGAAACGAAUUUUGCCUGAGGAUGAGCUCGCGUUUGAUUAGCUAGUUGGUGGGGUAAGAGCCUACCAAGGCUUCGAUCAGUAGCUGGUUUGAGAGGAUGAUCAGCCACCCUGGGACUGAGACCCGGCCCCGACUCCUACGGGAGGCAGCAGUGGGGAAUUUUUCGCAAUGGGCGAAAGCCUGAGGGAGCAACGCCGCGUGAGGGAUGAAGGCCUUUGGGCUGUAAACCUCUUUUAUCAAGGAAGAAGAUUUGCCCUUAAAGGGUGAAUAAGCCCCGGCUAAUUCCGUGCCAGCAGCCU